CACCUGAUUGACGAUGGAUUACCAGUGAGUGGCGGACGGGUGAGUAACACGUAGGUAACCUGCCCCGGAGCGGGGGAUAACAUUUGGAAACAGAUGCUAAUACCGCAUAACAACAAAGGCCACAUGGCUUUUGUUUGAAAGAUGGCUUUGGCUAUCACUCUGGGAUGGACCUGCGGUGCAUUAGCUAGUUGGUAAGGUAACGGCUUACCAAGGCGAUGAUGCAUAGCCGAGUUGAGAGACUGAUCGGCCACAAUGGAACUGAGACACGGUCCAUACUCCUACGGGAGGCAGCAGUAGGGAAUCUUCCACAACGAGCGCAACCCUGAUGGAGCAACACCGCGUGAGUGAAGAAGGGUUUCGGCUCGUAAAGCUCUGUUGUUGGAGAAGAACGUGCGUGAGAGUAACUGUUCACGCAGUGACGGUAUCCAACCAGAAAGUCACGGCUAACUACGUGCCAGCAGCCGCGGUAAUACGUAGGUGGCAAGCGUUAUCCGGAUUUAUUGGGCGUAAAGCGAGCGCAGGCGGUUGCUUAGGUCUGAUGUGAAAGCCUUCGGCUUAACCGAAGAAGUGCAUCGGAAACCGGGCGACUUGAGUGCAGAAGAGGACAGUGGAACUCCAUGUGUAGCGGUGGAAUGCGUAGAUAUAUGGAAGAACACCAGUGGCGAAAGCGGCUGUCUGGUCUGCAACUGACGCUCAGGCUCGAAAGCAUGGGUAGCGAACAGGAUUAGAUACCCUGGUAGUCCAUGCCGUAACGAUGAGUGCUAGGUGUU
Molecule: ribosomal RNA, 770 nt
Filed under: Limosilactobacillus reuteri
Lineage: Bacteria; Bacillati; Bacillota; Bacilli; Lactobacillales; Lactobacillaceae
Description: bacterial SSU rRNA
Rfam family: Bacterial small subunit ribosomal RNA
Source: RNAcentral